Molecule: unclassified non-coding RNA, 256 nt
Filed under: Archaeorhizomyces sp.
Lineage: Eukaryota; Fungi; Ascomycota; Archaeorhizomycetes; Archaeorhizomycetales; Archaeorhizomycetaceae
Description: partial contains 5.8S ribosomal RNA, internal transcribed spacer 2, and large subunit ribosomal RNA
Rfam family: 5.8S ribosomal RNA (bases 1-68)
Source: RNAcentral
GUGAGUCAUCGAAUCUUUGAACGCACAUUGCGCCUCCCCUCGCGGGAGGCAUGCCUGUCUGAGCGUCGUUCAAGCCGAUGGGCCCCUCGGGGUCCGUGUUGGGCCUCGCCCCCUGGAGGGCGUCGCCUCGAACGUAUAGGUCGAACGAGCGGACGUGAUCCAUUAGGACUGACCGUUCCGGGACCCUAAAUCUCAGACUUGACCUCAGAUCAGGUAGGGACACCGCCUGAACUUAAGCAUAUCAAUAAGCGGAGGA